CACGCCUCUCUUUUGUUUUAAGCACCUUUCAUCUGGGGUGCUCCUGGCUGCGGGAGGCUAAUGAGCUGCUUUCUGGGAAGAGUGCUCUUUCCUCCUACCCCACAACCCGGAGGCUAUUAACUCCAAGGCCUUAUUUUGCAUUCCGCUGAAGUUGGAGGGUCACCAAGCAGGCGUGUCCUUCUCAUCCAUCCCUCCAACAGGGCGCUGGUGGGCUAGGCUUGGACCAAAAAACCUCGGGGAUCGUCUAAUACAACUUAGCCCCACCUCCCAUCUUUCACAUGAGAGAACUGGGGAGGGAGGUGACUGUGCAAGAUGACAGACCCAAUGAGGAGACAGACGCCUCCUCGUUAAAGCACAAGGAAUAAAGCAGCGGCAGAGAGCGGCUGGUGCUCACCUCACCCACUCCCAUCAAGCUAGCAUGGGCACCAAGUGACAAGCAUCCUCCUAAGAGAAUACAGUUGUCUCUCCUUAUCGGAUCAUCUGAUUGGUUCCAGGAACCCCUGUGGAUACCAAACUCUGUGGUACUCAAGUCCCUUAAUAAAAUGGUACAGUACAAAUGGCUUCCAUUUGCCAGCCUGGCCCACCCAAGGAGCUGCCCCAGGGACAUUUGGGGGGGGUGGGAGUGCAUGCAGCAGGCUAGGAGCUGAGACUGGGGGCAGGAUGGGGUACUCCACCUGGCUGCCCUUCGAGGUGCUGGAAGCAGCAGAAGAGGCCAGGGAGGCCUCGCCUCUAGCGGCACAGCUCACACAUCACUGUAGUGACUCCAGAGCAGACGUACAGUAGGGGCUUAAAAAUGCUCAUUGAAGAAAAGGCUGUCAUCCUGGACCUGCAGCAGGGAGGAGAGGAAAUGUGGAAUCCACGGAUGGGGCGAUGCCUCACUUCUUCUCACCAUUGCUCAGCCAACCUGGAUCCAUCCAUUGUGGUUCUCCUUCAGGCCCUGCGCAGGGGCCUGAGCAAAUCCGGUUUGGGCAGCGAGAAGUUCGUGGGCCCCGGGCUGAGCUUCCUGCGGGUGGGACACCAUUCUUUGGCACUGAGAGAGGGGGCUAAGAGCUCAGUGUCCAGCUUCUCUCCUCUCCCUGGAAUGCUGCUCCUCUGAAGGGGCAGGUCUCUGGGCACCAGAUGCUUAGACCUGGGGGCUCUGACUCUCUGCCCCCAGCUCCGCCCCACCAGUCUCUGCUUCUACAUCCAUCUCAUUUGCUCUGCCUGCAGCCUCAGUCCCUCUGCAUCCUCCCCAGGAUCUCUUCCCUCCCCGUUCUGGCCUCAGC
RNAcentral lists this long non-coding RNA (1265 nucleotides) under Equus caballus (horse). RNAcentral's name for it is "lncRNA (ENSECAG00000050058.1)". Lineage: Eukaryota; Metazoa; Chordata; Mammalia; Perissodactyla; Equidae. The record is from RNAcentral.